AAUUCGAAGCAACGCGAAGAACCUACCAGGCCUUGACAUGCAGAGAACUUUCCAGAGAUGGAUUGGUGCCUUCGGGAACUCUGACACAGGUGCUGCAUGGCUGUCGUCAGCUCGUGUCGUGAGAUGUUGGGUUAAGUCCCGUAACGAGCGCAACCCUUGUCCUUAGUUACCAGCACGUUAUGGUGGGCACUCUAAAGGGACUGCCGGUGUUAAACCGGAGGAAGGUGGGGAUGACGUCAAGUCCUCAUGGCCUUUAUGACCAGGGCUACACACGUACUACAAUGGCCGAUACAAAGGGCAGCGACACUGCGAGGUGAAGCCAAUCCCGUAAAAUCGGUCUCAGUCCGGAUUGGAGUCUGCAACUCGACUCCAUGAAGUUGGAAUCGCUAGUAAUCGUGGAUCAGCAUGCCACGGUGAAUACGUUCCCGGGCCUU
Molecule: ribosomal RNA, 434 nt
Filed under: uncultured Bacillus sp.
Lineage: Bacteria; Bacillati; Bacillota; Bacilli; Caryophanales; Bacillaceae
Description: bacterial SSU rRNA
Rfam family: Bacterial small subunit ribosomal RNA
Source: RNAcentral